Long non-coding RNA from Notolabrus celidotus (New Zealand spotty), 5034 nucleotides. RefSeq lists it as uncharacterized. The transcript has 3 exons. The record is from RefSeq and is a predicted model, not a curated record. Lineage: Eukaryota; Metazoa; Chordata; Actinopteri; Labriformes; Labridae.
UUAAUGUAAACUAAGUUAUAAAAACGAAGUUAUAACUGUUAGCUAAAUGAAACCGAAUUUUCUUUUUUGUUGUUGUUUUAUCAGUCAGCUAACUGUUAGCUAACUGUUACAGGGGUUAGAACUGGCAGCUAACUGUUAGUUAGCUAACUGUCACUGCUCUUGAUGUUAGCGAUAGGUCACAAUGGUUAGCUAAGCAUCAGAUCUAUAUGGUAACUGUUAGCUAACAGGUAAAGCAGUCAAAUGAAUGCCACAGUUGUUAGCUAACUUUGAUUUUGACUAACUUUAGGUUUCAAAAUAUGGCUACUACAGUCAGCUAACUGUUAGCCAAGUGUAACAGGGGUAAGAUAACUGACAGGUAGGGCUAACAGUUUCAGCAUUAAGGCAAACAUUGCAUCAUUCAGGUAACUGUUAGUUUACUGUAACAGCAGUUAGCUAACUCAGCUCCAGAUUAACUCUUAAAGCUGUCAGCUAACAGCUAACUGUUAAAGCAGAGCUAACUCAAGUUACUGUUAGGAGUUUUUGACAUGUUUGAAACUGAAAUUUAAGUUAACUGAUGUUUUUUAUGAUCUAUAAAAGUAAACAAGACCAUCAUAAAGAGGAAUGAUUACUUCUAAGUAGUUCUUUUUAAUGCCUGAAACUUCUGCGUUGUGCUACAGAAACAGAAGUCUUGAUUUUCUCUGAGUGAUACAGCUGACUGUUUGACGCGGUGGUGCCAAAAUCAACACAAAGGUUCCUCAAAGCAGCAAACAUUCAUCCAUUCAGGUUGGGAUAAACAUGAAAGCAGUUGUUAGCAGCAUUUGAUAAUUAAGCCAUAACCAGUAAGUAUCUGUCAGGUAAAAGAAUCAAUCAGGACCAGUUCAAACCAGUCCAACUGGUCUUAAAAAUCCAGUAUUCAGCAUAGGUCAUCCUAGAGUAUAAAGUCCAGGCAGAAGAGUCCAAAUUCUUAAAAAACUACAAUCCAAACUAGUUAAAAAAAAAAAAGUCCAAUGUGAGGCAUUACUCAUGAGCAUCUGGUGGACAACAGAGUCCAGACAGACCAGUCUUACACCGAGCUGAACCAGUUCAGAGCAGUGGAGUCCAGCGCAGCGUGCCAAUGGAGAUGAGGGUCUGGCAGGUAGCAGAGUCCAACCAAACCGACUCCACCAGAUUAAAGUGCAGGAAGCCGAGAGCGAAUCCACAACCAACAUCGGACAGGUGAUGUUUACCCAGCAGCACACGGGACACACCAACCAGGACGGCCCACAGGUAGAGCAAGAUCCUGAGGGGAACCUGGAGGACAAAACAGACUCUUAGAAAGUGAAGCACCAGGUGGUUUAGGAGGAACUUGGACACCAUCACGGCUCGACUGGCGUGGGCUGCCGGGAAAGAAUACAUGUCCAUCGCGAUGUAGUCCAUGAACCCUGGAGGUAAGUCCCAUGGUCCUCUGCGUUUGACCAGCUUCUGCAUCCCAGCGACCGUCAUCAGAUCCAGGACCAGAGCUGCAGGUGAGAAAGGAUCAGGUACAGAUUUAACCCCUGAGGUUCUUUAUGUACUAAUGAAACCCCUCUACCCUCCCUCCUUGUGAUUCUGAGUCUCUCACCCAGCAGCAGGUUGACGAGGACCUCCUGUCCCGCCAUCGUGUUGCUCCUCCACAGACAGAUCAGAGUCCCAAAUAACCAGGGGAGGGCGUGUCCGCUGAGGGCCAGCAGUGACACCAUGGACCUCAGCGGGGCCCCUGGGCCGCGGACCCCGGCACAUAUACCCAGACGCUUUGACAUGCUGAUGUCGAUGGCGAGCAGAGAGUUGAUGGCGAUGCCUUUGAAGGAUGGAUUCAGCUGCAUACAGUCUUCCUUCACCGCCCCUUCAGCUCCUGAGCCCCCCUCUGAGGAGUCCCUCGAGGAGCCCCCCCUGAGGACAGAGAGACCAAAAGUAAAUGUCGAUAGACUUUAUAGAAAAGAUAAAACCGAAGAAUCUGAACCAUCGUCUGUAGAGAUAGAACAACAUCUCUACAAAGUGACGCCAAAGCUUUUAGAGCUCCCCCUGGUGACUGGCUGCAGUAUAGGUCUUAAGCCCCGCCUCCUCCAUGUUAACAGAUGGGACAUGAGUCAAACUAGAAAAUUAAAAUGCACAAUAAAAAAAAAAAUUCUCAAACAUGAUAGUUACUUCUUAUCAUGCCAGUUUAUGUCAAAGUGUUCACUUUUAGCAGAGAAGUUUAGUUUUAGUUUGUUUUUGAUUUUAAAAAGGUGACUGAUUGACAGCUCUGUGGACCAAUGAGGUUCCUGCAGCGAUGUGUGCACAGGAUCAUCAGAGAAGAGGACGGUGAGAGGAAACAUAACAAACACUAACACAAGAGUCAUUGGACUUUCCAUAACCGUGAGAGUCUGCUUAAAACACAUACAAGAACCUGUGACUCUGUGGACCCACCCGAGGGAGCGAUCAAGUUUUAUCGGAAGUAAACAAGGUAGAAUGACAAAGGAGUGUCGGACAGUUGAGUUUGUUGGAUGAGAAAAGAGUGAUUGAACUGCGGUUAACUAAAAGGUCUAACUGAGUAUGGAUCUGAGACACUUAAAAUUCAACUUAAACUUUCAGAGGUCGUGCUUCUUCGCCCAUUUUGAAGCUGCAGACUUCAGAAGACAUCCUCUGGAGAAAUGUUGUGCCUGUAGGUCCUUUUUAACCCAGAGUAUGUCAAACAUGUCACCUCUGUAUGGAUCAGAUCUUUAAAAUAGAAGCAGGAUGACCACAUGAUGAGUAAACAUGUUAGUAUGUUAAAUGAGUAACAGACUAAAGUGGAUAUAAAGUUAGAUAUGAAGGAAAUGUAGUCUAGAUGUCAGCAUGUUCAGUCUUCAGUGAACUGAGACCAGCACAUGGAUCAGAAAGUAUCUGCAGGACUCUCAGAGUGAAGACUUAAAUAAAGCCUGAGUCCAGGAUCUCUGGACGUGUCUGGACUCUAAAAGUGAGCUGUGAUUUCAGAGGGCCGAGCCUCUGGGUCUUACCUCACUCCUGGGUCCUCCUGCUGACUGUGCUGUCUGGCCGAGGCUCUCUUCGGACCCCCGCUCCCCCGCCCUUCCCCUGCCCCUUGCUCCCUGCGGGGGGGCUGGUUCAGGGACAGAAACUCGGGCCGGUUCAGGACGUUGUUCCGGUCUCUGGCCCGGCUCCGAGCCUGACUGCCGGGCAUGACGGCGGACGGUCCAGAGGUGUUCGAGGUGGAACAGUGUUCAGAACAGGCUGCAGGACUGUGACGGAUCAGGUCUGAGACUCUGAGGGACUCUGCUAUUAAUAGACCAGCUGGCCUUCUUCUUCUGCUGUCAGCUGUUCAGAGAGAGAGAGAGAGGGGCUGGAAAAACACUGCACACACACACACACACACACACACACACACACACACACACACACACACAAACACACACACCGUACAAUACAGGCCAACAGAGCAGGCUGUCAUAUUAAAGGAACACUCCUCCAGUUUCACAAGUCAAAGGGCAGCUAACACUCACAGUCAUGGUGUGUUCAGGUCAUGUCACAGUAAUCGUAAUAACCAGCUUCCAACAGAGGUGGACACGAGUCACUUUCAAAAAGUCCAAGCCCAAGUCUCAAGUCUCUAGGGGGGACAGGGAGUCCAGAUCAAGUCCCUCAUGGUUUUAUUAAAUAACAUAAAAAUAAAAAUGUUGUCGUCAUUGAAUGUGGGCCCCGUAGAUGAUAAUGUCUCUUAUUUAUUUUACAUAAUGUUACAUUAGUUAAUGCACUAAGAGUGUUGUGUUGUUAUAUCUGCACACACACCUGUGCAGGGCGGAUCUGGACUUGGCCAAACUUGGAAUCACGGUGUGAGAACAUUCUAAUUCAUCACGAGACAUUCACCUCAAACUGAGCAUCAAAGGAGGGCCGUCCUGAACAACGUGUCUCUCUGCUGCAUGUGUCAGAUGUUUAUCACAACCAGGGGUGUUGCACUAAAUUAUGGGCCCCAAACAGAGGACCCGACUGCAUUAGCAGUUAUUCAUUAUUUAUCUUUGAGGGCCUCAUAUACUCACUCAGAACGUCUGCAGGUGAAGUGCUCUUUGUGGAGUGAGGUAGCUUGUGCAUUCGAUAGUUUAACAUCUGCAUGACAUCCCUUCACAUCUGUUUAGCCUCAGUUUAACUCAAACUCUGCAGACCUUCACCGCUAACAGCAGUCCUAAGAGCCUGCUGCUUCAGAGUCAUAUAGAAUAUCAUCUGGCUGCUAAACUGGACCAGACUGGACCCAGUCCAGGCUAAAUACAGCACAGUCCAGGUUCCCCCUGCUCAGCCUCUCCCUCUGCAAAAAUGUUUGACAUCUCACUAAAUAUAAAAUAAUAGAAACGUGCUUUUAAUUCUGUUUGGUUCAUUUACUCAGUUUUAUUCUUUGUUCUUCGUUUGAAAGUGUGACUCAGUGACUCCUGAGACAUUACUGAGAUUAAAACAGGAACAAGAAGUCUGCUGAGGGGGGAUUUAUACAGGAAUAAACCAUGUGUAGAUUGUUGUUGAUAACUUUAGCUACUAUGAUACUCACAGAAUGAAGAAAACGCUUUAAAAAAACUAAAUAUAACCCUAUAUAUUGAACUGUAAUCCCUUCUUUCUCAAAUCACAAUAAAACAAGUUUGAGUAAUAUUGUUGAAUUGGAAGUCCUCUGUCCCACCGACCCAUUCGAGCUGGAUUAAGAGGGUGCUUUAUUUUCUUGAAUUUGAAAAGAUGAGGCUGACCCUGAGUGUCAAAACUCAUAUCUUUAAAAAAAAAAUCUGUGACCCUUUUUUAUCUGUGUGUCUUUAGACUGAGCAUCACCAUGGUGUGUCUUACUAUGUUUAUUGAUUUCAUCUGUUUAUUUUUAUUAUACUUGCUUUUUGUCUUAUGGUCUCCAUUUUUAGAGUUUUAUUUAGUUAAUGUGGAGGGAGUGUGUGUCGGGGUGGGGGGUUAUUUGUUGUUUUGUAUUUGGUCUGUGUGUUUAUUUGUUCCAAAAUAAAGGAAAAUGUACCAACCUUUAAUUUUUGGAUGUGACUGUUCUUCUCUGUGAAAAUCAAUAAACAGAGUUUAACAGGUGUGAGCAGA